UCGGUGGUAGAGGGCUUAAAGUGUGAGUGGAGAUGCCUUUAGGACACUUCCAAUUCCUUGGUAUAUGAAUGGAAUUCAAAUGAAAUAGCCAAAUCCUGACAAGCUUCUAUGAGCUCCAAAGCCUCUGCAGGUGUUUUACAGCCAGAGACAAGAGCCUGGAGUCUCUCCCCAAAAGCUGCCUGCUGGUUUGUUUGGCCAGGCAUAGGAAAAAUUGUGUAUUCCCUGGGGCUGUCCUCAUGGAGAAAGGUUUAUUUACAUGCCCUGGGUUUAUUCUCUUCAAAAUGAUGGAAACCGAUUUCACUGAAAGGCCAGAGGUGCCAAAUGCUUUCCCCAGCCAGAGCUCGGAGCCAGCCCUGUGGGAAGGGGUUUAAUGCCCCCUUUCCCAGUCCCUCGAGGCAGCAGCACUGGAGCACUUGAGCCAAACGUGCCCGAGGUGCCGAGUGCUGGCAGGAGGCAAAUCCAGGGAUUGGGCAGUGGGAGUUUGCACUGCUCCUGUAACCCCAGACCUGGAGCUGUGCUUCAGAAAGCCCAGGAGAUGCUGCCUCACUCAAACCUUGCUUAAAGCUCAGCAUCCCUCCUGCACCCUUGGAGUUAAUGUUGCUUCCAUUGUUGCUAUUUCUUUUUUUGUUUAUAAUAAUUAUUAUUAUUACUGUAAAUUCCCACUCCAUGUCUUCCACAGGCCUUGGCUUCCCAGAGGUGGUGCUUGAGGAAAGCUCUUCCAGCCUGGGAAGUGCUUUUGGCGCCGGACACAUUCCCAGUGCCCAGGAGCAGCAGGCCCUGUGCUGUUCCCAGCAGGCAUGGAAAAUGGGGGAAAUCUCAGACUGGACUGGAGCCAGAAUCCAGAAUGGGGGAGUGAGGCAGCUCAGCCCAGGCUGGGGUUGGCACAGGGGGUGUUCCCUGUUGGAUGGAACCCGUGUGGAACAGAUCCUUCUCUUCCUUUGUCCAAGGUCCCAUGGCAAAGGAUUGAAUUCACGCCCUACUCACAAGUGGGGCCUGGAGUGAAAAUUAUUAUUCUGUUAAAUAAAUUAAAUAUUAAUAAAUAAAUUAAAAUUCUG
RNAcentral lists this long non-coding RNA (1055 nucleotides) under Cyanistes caeruleus (blue tit). RNAcentral's name for it is "lncRNA (ENSCCEG00000016361.1)". Lineage: Eukaryota; Metazoa; Chordata; Aves; Passeriformes; Paridae. The record is from RNAcentral.